UCCAGUUGCCACAAACCUUAGUUGCGAAGUCUGUGUGUAGAUUUGAGAAGAAGUUUUGGUCGUUUUUAAUAAGAUAACGCCAUAAAAGUCAUGACUAAGAAUGGAACGUGGUGAACUACACGCUAGGCUCUCGUCAGGACCUCCCAGUGCUACCAUGAACUAAGUUGUUCCUGCCAUGGCCUCCAGCACGGCUGCCAGGACCAGGUACCCCAGCGGGGACCCUCGGGACAGGCAGGGCAACAGGUCUGCCAGGGACGACAACAAAAAACUCAGUAAAACUGCUUCAGCUGUGCCCAGAAACAGCACUGACAGCACCCGUAGAGAUGCAGCUGCAGCUACAGGAACAGCACCUGGCAACAAGGGGGAGGAGGGGAGUGGACAGCAGGGUGACACAGCUGCAGAUAACAGCAAAGGAGAGACAGCAGCCUCCAGGAGAAGCAGUGCUGGCAGUCAGGGAGCAGGAGAGCAGAAGACCACUGGGAUAUAUGCUAAUGCAGCAGGCACAAGGCCUCCAGUGGACGUCCAUGUCACCAGAGAUGACACCAAAGUUGAGAACACACUCUUCACCUCGGUGGGCGUCCUGUACCCUCCACAGAGACAGGACAGUCAGUCAACCAUCUCCACCAUUCCAGUGGACGACAACAUUUCCUUCAACCCACCAAGACUUCUCCUUCUCUCCUCGCGUGCGAAAAACAGCGGGACUAUCGCUGCAUCCGUUCGCUCUAACAUUCACGUCAUCAGGUACAACUACGAGAACUCGACCCUUGAUGGCAUUCUGAAACAGACAGCUGAAGUACUAGGAGGAACAAAAGUGGAAAGUAUUGCUUGUGUGAUGCAUAGCUCUGGUGGAAGUAUUUAUGUCUGUUCUGACCGUUUGUUGACUUCGGUGAACAUCAUAGAACAAUCCUCCAUCCGUGACUUCUACAGCACGUUGGUAGAAAACCACCUGGACAGGUCCUUUGUCAAUGCCAGGCUGGACUUCCUGGCCUGCAGUGCUGUUCAGAGUGUGGAGAGUGGUACCAUACUACAGGAGAUGGAGUCCUUGUUAGGAGUGUCCGUUGGAAUGGCAAAAGAUCUGUCAGCAGCAGAAAUCAGCAUGACAGAGAAUAGGAGAAGACAGUUCCACCACAGUUGGGAGUGUACUUCAGAGAAGAUAAACUACAGCAACUGAACGGAUCCAGUCCUCAAACACUCGCCGGGUUUGAAAAGAUUAGAACCGUCGGAAAAGGGGCGUACGGUACGGCAGUAUUGUACCGCAAGAAGGACGACGAUUCUCUGGUCAUUCUGAAAGAAAUCAACAUGCACGACUUAACAGCAUCUGAAAGACAGAUGGCUCUGAACGAAGUCAAAGUCCUAGCGAUGUUAGACCAUCCGAACAUCAUCACAUACUAUGACAGCUUGAGGAAGAUGGGGUUCUGAUGAUUGAGAUGGAAUAUGCGGAUGGAGGACUCUUGCGAAAUACGUUGGCCAAAGGGAAACACCGCUGUCCGGAAAAGGAAAUCCUCUUCAUGUUCCAACAGAUAGUGGCAGCAAUACGGCAUAUUCACGAACACAACAUCCUACACAGGGACCUGAAAACUGCCAACAUCUUUCUCACAAAGGAGGGAGUCAUCAAAGUUGGCGACUUUGGAAUAUCCAAAAUGAUGACGUCAGCAAAUCACGGUGCGAACACAGUACUGGGCACGCCAUACUACAUCUCACCUGAGAUGUGCGAGGGGAAGGCGUACAACGACAAAUCGGACAUCUGGGCGCUGGGGUGUAUCAUGUACGAGAUGGCGUGCUUACACAGAACAUUUGAGGGCUCCAAUUUACCCGCGCUGGUGAAUAAGAUCAUGAACGGACAGUUUGCUCCAGUGAAGGGGAACUACAGUCAUGAGUUUAAGGACCUGAUACAGGACAUGCUGCAGAGGGAGCCUCAGUACUGACCGUCUGCUAACGAGCUGCUGUAUCACAGGCUACCAGAGCUCAUGGCAAGGUAUGAGGAGGGGGCCACAGAGUGGGAGGAUGAGUUGUCUUCAUCCCUGGAUGGUUCCAAACAACUCGCCAGCAGCAAGCGGCGUAGGACUCGAUCUGUGCUUGUCUACCUGGACACGUGUGCCAUGACACUCACACCGAUCGAGCUUCCAGCCAAGAUCAAGAUCAGACAGGUUGCUGUGGGUUCAGAACACAUGGUGGUCGUGGCUAUGGAAAGAGCCGUCUACACAUGGGGGGAGGGAAGCAAAGGCCAGUUGGGUCACGGGGACCUUCUGGGUCGUAGCAAGCCAGAAAUGGUGGAAGCGUUGAAGGGGAAGUCUAUCGUGCGAGCGUGCUGUGGGGAUGGUUUUAGUGUGUUUGUCAGUGACAAUGGGAUCGUGAUGACGUGUGGGGACGGCAGUAAUGGCUGCCUGGGGCAUGGUGAUUGGAUGAGCGCUUCACGGCCACGACUGAUCGAGCCUCUCCUAAGCGUGGACGUUCGUGCCAUCUCGUGCGGACCGCACCACGUGGUCGCGGUGGGGAGCGACGGCGAGGUGUUUGCGUGGGGUCGCGGGCGGCACGGCUGCCUCGGGCUGGGAGACGAGGAAGACCACUUCUCUCCGCAGGAGGUCCAAAUCAGCGAACCUGUCUUCAUCAGGGAGGUCAAGUGUGGCGUGGACGGCACCAUGUUUCUCACAGACAUGGGCAGCGUCCUGGCAUGUGGCAACAACGAGAGUAAUAAACUAGGGUUGAACCAUCGGCAGGGUUUCCUGAGAGCCAUGAAGAACCUGCUACAGAAAGUGGAAGUCCCGGGGAGGAAGGUGCCGACUGUUGUCCGAGCCCUGACCAACCACAGAGCCAUCGACAUGGCCGUCGGACCUCACCACACAUCAGUACUGGUGGAGCCUGGCAAGGUCUACACCUUCGGGAGGAACAUGGAGGGACAACUCGGGACCGGCCACACCAAGCCGAGAGAUGCACCAAUGGAGGUCAAAGACCCUGGGAUAUCAGACAAAACAGUCACCAUGCUGGCCUGUGGAGACAUGUUCACCGCAGUGGGAAUCAACUCAGAGAACGCCUUGUUCUUCUGGGGAACCCGGUACCGCCCGAAAGAAAAACCAGAAGAAAACAACAACCAAUCAGCUGAAGGAGGAGGCACCGGGGAAGAACAGGACCUCACUCCCAUUGGACAUCGCCGAAACUCUAGCAACAUCUCCAUCACUAGUGCUGGGAGUGUGAAUAACAUAGCCGUGGAGACGAGAGCGCACACGCCUACACAGGACACUAACAGACUGUCCGUCAGUUCUGCAAGUUCUGUUCAAAGACCGGUGUCUAGUUCUUCUCUGAACGCAGAUAACGUGAGUGGAGAUGGUGUAGACAGUAGGGAGACAAGAGGUAGAUCUGCCAAACGACACAGUUCCCACAGCAGUAUCGGCAGCAUUAGUCUGGGUGACAAGGAGACAGAGCUCAUAACCACACCUACGCCAAUCCUGCGCUGUGACUCCAUCAUCGGGACGGGAGGCACGCCCGGCGCCGAACCAAUCCCACUCACGCUCACCCACGUCGUGGCCCACGGACAGAACCUGUUUGUCCAGGUGGAGACAGCCGCACCGCCACCCCGCAAACGAACGCGGAAAAAACGGUCCUUUAAAAAGAAAAUGGGACCAAACCUGGAAGUCCCGCCUCGAAAUCUGCACCAUUCCGCAUCUAGUAAUGAUGCGGGGGAUGAGUACACCAGCUCUGAGGCCUCAGAAUACGACACACAGGGAACUAUUCCAACAUGGAUCAAGAACGAGCUGAGCACGUCAGCACUGGUUAGUCAGGAUGAACAAGACGCAGAUGAGAGUGAUGAUGGAGGUGUCACUGAUGAUGAUGCUCUAACAGAGACAGAAGCCUCCGGGAAUGACAGCAUUGUAUCUGUAGAAACUAGUAUCCAGAUUAACAAAGAACUGAAAAACAAGGACGGGAUGAAAACUGUUCGAGCUGAUUGGAACCCUAAACCCUCCACUCCGGUGGGAAGAGCAAAGGCAAAAGACGGCUCUCUGGUGCUAGGUGAAGACAAGAAUCAAAUCAAACGUGUGUCUACUGAGAGUAGUGUGGAUACUUUUGCUGCGGAUGAAAUGGAUCACCUUUCCAGCUCAGACUCUUCUGAACAAAUGGCAGUGGCGCUUAGAAACGCGUCUGAAGUCACCAAAAACACUGAGGGAAAUCUCCAGGCGAGAAAGAAGCUGUCCCUUCCCACCGUCACCACCAAGGAGGGGAAACUGGCGCCACCGUCUUCGUACCGCGGGCAGGAGGGAAUGAAGCGGGUCGGCCCGAUGCCCGGUGUGCAGCGGCCGCUAAACCGUCUACGUGCAGGCCGUAGUCGAGGCCGAGCGGGCGCUCUCGUUCCAACCGUGAGCGAGCCACCAGGCGGCCUGGGCAAACCGGCCGCCAAGCCCAUGUACAAAACCAAGGACACCUUAAUAACAGAGGUGGAGAGGCUGAAAGAAGAGAAGCAGCGAGCGGAGGAACAGUUAGAGAGGGUUCAGGAGACCUACAAAGCACAGCAACAAAAACUGGAACAAGAACAGCAACAAGUGGUGGAGGAACGGGAACGCAAACUGCAAGAGGAAAUUGAAAUCCUUCGUCAAGAGUUGACUAUUCAGAGUAAUGCACUGAAGGAGAAUCAGAAUAUUAUGAUGAGUUUGCAGGACCAGUUGGUGAGGGUACAGUCAGAACAGCUGAGGGCCAACGCAAGAGAGAAGAGGGCGGCAAGCGCCCGGUCUCAGCCUAUCAGCUCUCCUCUCAAGAAACCAGAAAGAGUCAUGCAGGCACAGUUUGGACCCGGCCUUCAGCACGGAAGCAUCGCCGCGACUCGCUCUACCACAGCCCGUCAGAAAUUAUGUCUCCCCUGCCCGUACUGUUCCUGUAUAUCUACACGGUGUGCGUGUCGGCGGCGUGUCCCAGCCAACACUACGACUCCAGCGGCGCGUGCUGCUCGCAGUGCCCGCCAGGUGAGGGGGUGAGCACGCCCUGCACGGACGGGAACGGCACGGGCUGCACGGCGUGUGUUCCCGGGCUGACCUUCUCCAACUCCCGCUCACACACCGAGGCCUGUCACGAGUGCUCCACCUGCGGGCCCAACAUGGAGGUCGCGUCUGUGUGUAACAGAACUCACGACACCGUGUGUGAGUGUUCGGCUGACUUCUACUGGGAUCCGGAGACUGAACAGUGCGAGCGGUGUCAGAUCUGUCCGCCCGGGUUCGGCGCGCUGGAGGCCUGCAGUCCCCGGCAGGACUCCGGCUGUGUCGCCUGCCCCAACAUGACGUACUCUGACGUGGACAGUCCCCGCGCACAGUGCCUGGCGUGUACCAGGUGUACAGACAACCAGGUCAUGCUGCAAACUUGCACGUCUAUAUCGGACACCAUCUGUUUAGAUAAGAACAUGCCCCAGCUGAUCGGUGGAAAGGUGGGCAGGACGACGCCCGCAGACGGCCUGUUGACGCUGAAGGACGCCUCUGGACAGAACAUCAUCCCGGUGUACUGCACCAUCAUGGGCGCUGUGGUGGUCGGACUCAUCGUCUAUGUGGCCGUCAAACGGUGGAAGACUUGCCACAGACCGCAGACCACCAAGUCUGCCGCCCAGCCUCACGAUGUAGAAGCUCAGAAGCACCAGAACAACGACAGCGGCGUGUGUGUGGAUCCCUGCACCAGUCCCACCAGUGGGAAGACUCGAGUCAGUGAGCUGUCUGCCGGCCGUGUCCGUGACCUCGUCUUCACGCUGAGUCUGCAGCAUCCGGUAAACUGGCGCCAUCUGGCGACUGAGCUGGGGUACGACAUCGCCGCCAUCGAUGAAUUCGAGCAGGGAACAACAACGGUCCGGGAGCAGCCAAAGCCUUUCUCGUUCAUUGGAGUAGAAUGGAGAACGCCACAGUUGAGAACUUGUGCGAGGCGUUGAGAGCCAUAGGUAGACAGGACGUAACAGGACUGCUCCAAGAGUGCAAUAUGGGCCGACACCUAGUGUAGACUAGACGUACUUUGUACCGGAAGCUAAACAUCAUGUUAGGCCACACCGACUUAAUUUUAUGGAUGACAUCCGCAUUGAUUUUUCGCCUGUUCUCCAAA
Molecule: RNA transcript, 6060 nt
Organism: Branchiostoma belcheri (Belcher's lancelet)
Lineage: Eukaryota; Metazoa; Chordata; Leptocardii; Amphioxiformes; Branchiostomatidae
Exons: 12
Source: RefSeq, a predicted model, not a curated record